CGUAGGCCGGAGAUUAAGCGUGUUGUGAAAUGUAGACGCUCAACGUCUGCACUGCAGCGCGAACUGGUUUCCUUGAGUACGCACAAAGUGGGCGGAAUUCGUGGUGUAGCGGUGAAAUGCUUAGAUAUCACGAAGAACUCCGAUUGCGAAGGCAGCUCACUGGAGCGCAACUGACGCUGAAGCUCGAAAGUGCGGGUAUCGAACAGGAUUAGAUACCCUGGUAGUCCGCACGGUAAACGAUGGAUGCCCGCUGUUGGUCUGAAUAGGUCAGCGGCCAAGCGAAAGCAUUAAGCAUCCCACCUGGGGAGUACGCCGGCAACGGUGAAACUCAAAGGAAUUGACGGGGGCCCGCACAAGCGGAGGAACAUGUGGUUUAAUUCGAUGAUACGCGAGGAACCUUACCCGGGCUUGAAUUGCAGAGGAAGGAUUCGGAGACAAUGACGCCCUUCGGGGCCUCUGUGAAGGUGCUGCAUGGUUGUCGUCAGCUCGUGCCGUGAGGUGUCGGCUUAAGUGCCAUAACGAGCGCAACCCCUCUCCUUAGUUGCCAUCAGGUCAUGCUGGGCACUCUGGGGACACUGCCACCGUAAGGUGUGAGGAAGGUGGGGAUGACGUCAAAUCAGCACGGCCCUUACGUCCGGGGCUACACACGUGUUACAAUGGCAGGUACAGAGAGACGGUCCCUUGCAAAAGGGAUCAAAUCCUCAAAGCCUGUCUCAGUUCGGACUGGGGUCUGCAACCCGACCCCACGAAGCUGGAUUCGCUAGUAAUCGCGCAU
This 775-nucleotide ribosomal RNA is filed under the name uncultured Bacteroidota bacterium. RNAcentral's name for it is "bacterial SSU rRNA". It matches the Rfam family "Bacterial small subunit ribosomal RNA", at positions 570 to 1349 of the family's 1533-position model. Lineage: Bacteria; Pseudomonadati; Bacteroidota. The record is from RNAcentral.